CAGGGCUUGAAGGCUGUGGGUGUGGGGCCCCAUAAUCAUUUGGUCCAGGACAGGCAGUAGGCGUCAGGGGGCGCCCUAAGGCUCCACGGCAUGUGCCUGUAUUGCUGGGACAUCGAGCCUUCCCAAGUCAACCCUGAAGGACCAAGACAACAUCAUCCUUCAGAGGUCACUGAGCGGCAGCUUGCAAAUAAACGUAUUCAGAAUAUGCAACACCUAAAGAAAGAGAAGAGGAGACUGAAUAAAAGGUUUUCAAGGCCUUCUCCUAUUCCAGAACCAGGACUCCUAUGGUCAUCUUGAUAAAGCAGGAGUCUAUUUGAAGGAAACCAUGCUCCAGACAGAAAUAUGUGGAUUGUGAACAUCAAGUGACAUAUCAUGAAUUGAUCAUCCACAAAAUAAAUGCAAUACUCCACCAUUUCGGAAAAAUAAACACAGUGCAAGUAUUUAAUAUCCAAGCUACAGGCUCU
Molecule: long non-coding RNA, 464 nt
Filed under: Homo sapiens (human)
Lineage: Eukaryota; Metazoa; Chordata; Mammalia; Primates; Hominidae
Description: non-protein coding lnc-CCDC179-1:3
Source: RNAcentral